CCUACGGGAGGCAGCAGUGGGGAAUAUUGCACAAUGGGGGAAACCCUGAUGCAGCGACGCCGCGUGAAGGAAGAAGUAUCUCGGUAUGUAAACUUCUAUCGGCAGGGAAGAAAACGGACGGUACCUGACUAAGAAGCCCCGGCUAACUACGUGCCAGCAGCCGCGGUAAUACGUAGGGGGCGAGCGUUAUCCGGAUUUACUGGGUGUAAAGGGAGCGUAGACGGCUGGGCAAGCCUGAUGUGAAAGGCGGGGGCGCAACCCUCGGACUGCAUUGGGAACUGUCCGGCUGGAGCGCCGGAGGGGUAAGCGGAAUUCCUGGUGUAGCGGUGAAAUGCGUAGAUAUCAGGAGGAACACCGGUGGCGAAGGCGGCUUACUGGACGGCGACUGACGUUGAUGCUCGAAAGCGUGGGGAGCGAACAGGAUUAGAUACCCCUGUAGUC
Molecule: ribosomal RNA, 441 nt
Filed under: uncultured bacterium
Lineage: Bacteria
Description: partial 16S ribosomal RNA
Rfam family: Bacterial small subunit ribosomal RNA
Source: RNAcentral